RNAcentral lists this ribosomal RNA (253 nucleotides) under uncultured bacterium. RNAcentral's name for it is "partial 16S ribosomal RNA". It matches the Rfam family "Bacterial small subunit ribosomal RNA", at positions 524 to 776 of the family's 1533-position model. The record is from RNAcentral.
UACGUAGGGUCCGAGCGUUGUCCGGAAUUACUGGGCGUAAAGAGCUCGUAGGUGGUUUGUCGCGUUGUUCGUGAAAACUCACAGCUCAACUGUGGGCGUGCGGGCGAUACGGGCAGACCGGAGUACUGCAGGGGAGACUGGAAUUCCUGGUGUAGCGGUGGAAUGCGCAGAUAUCAGGAGGAACACCGGUGGCGAAGGCGGGUCUCUGGGCAGUAACUGACGCUGAGGAGCGAAAGCGUGGGGAGCGAACAGG